GGAAUUUUCCGCAAUGGGCGAAAGCCUGACGGAGCAAUACCGCGUGAGGGAAGACUGCCUAUGGGUUGUAAACCUCUUUUUUCAGGGAGGAAUAAAUGACGUGUACCUGAAGAAUAAGCAUCGGCUAACUCCGUGCCAGCAGCCGCGGUAAGACGGAGGAUGCAAGUGUUAUCCGGAAUCACUGGGCGUAAAGCGUCUGUAGGUGGUCAAAUAAGUCAACUGUUAAAUCUUGAAGCUUAACUUCAAAAUCGCAGUCGAAACUAUUAGACUAGAGUAUAGUAGAGGUAAAGGGAAUUUCCAGUGGAGCGGUGAAAUGCGUAGAUAUUGGAAAGAACACCAAUGGCGAAGGCACUUUACUGGGCUAUUACUAACACUCAGAGACGAAAGCUAGGGUAGCAAAUGGGAUUAGAUACCCCUGUAGUC
This 423-nucleotide ribosomal RNA is filed under the name uncultured eukaryotic phytoplankton. RNAcentral's name for it is "bacterial SSU rRNA". It matches the Rfam family "Bacterial small subunit ribosomal RNA", at positions 358 to 795 of the family's 1533-position model. The record is from RNAcentral.